AGCUUUGGUUCAUAUUCAGUCAUCUCAGGAGAACUUCAGAAGAGCUUGAGUAGGCCAAAUGUUGAAGUUAAGUUUUCCAAUAAUGUGACUUCUUAAAAGUUUUAUUAAAGGGGAGGGGCAAAUAUUGGCAAUUAGUUGGCAGUGGCCUGUUACGGUUGGGAUUGGUGGGGUGGGUUUAGGUAAUUGUUUAGUUUAUGAUUGCAGAUAAACUCAUGCCAGAGAACUUAAAGUCUUAGAAUGGAAAAAGUAAAGAAAUAUCAACUUCCAAGUUGGCAAGUAACUCCCAAUGAUUUAGUUUUUUUCCCCCCAGUUUGAAUUGGGAAGCUGGGGGAAGUUAAAUAUGAGCCACUGGGUGUACCAGUGCAUUAAUUUGGGCAAGGAAAGUGUCAUAAUUUGAUACUGUAUCUGUUUUCCUUCAAAGUAUAGAGCUUUUGGGGAAGGAAAGUAUUGAACUGGGGGUUGGUCUGGCCUACUGGGCUGACAUUAACUACAAUUAUGGGAAAUGCAAAAGUUGUUUGGAUAUGGUAGUGUGUGGUUCUCUUUUGGAAUUUUUUUCAGGUGAUUUAAUAAUAAUUUAAAACUACUAUAGAAACUGCAGAGCAAAGGAAGUGGCUUAAUGAUCCUGAAGGGAUUUCUUCUGAUGGUAGCUUUUGUAUUAUCAAGUAAGAUUCUAUUUUCAGUUGUGUGUAAGCAAGUUUUUUUUUAGUGUAGGAGAAAUACUUUUCCAUUGUUUAACUGCAAAACAAGAUGUUAAGAGGCAUUUCAUCCUUCAUGAAGCCAUUCAGGAUUUUGAAUUGCAUAUGAGUGCUUGGCUCUUCCUUCUGUUCUAACUUCACAGAGAAUGCAGUUGUCUUGACUUCAGGUCUGUCUGUUCUGUUGGCAAGUAAAUGCAGUACUGUUCUGAUCCCGCUGCUAUUAGAAUGCAUUGUGAAACGACUGGAGUAUGAUUAAAAGUUGUGUUCCCCAA
RNAcentral lists this long non-coding RNA (967 nucleotides) under Homo sapiens (human). RNAcentral describes it as "metastasis associated lung adenocarcinoma transcript 1". Lineage: Eukaryota; Metazoa; Chordata; Mammalia; Primates; Hominidae. The record is from RNAcentral.